Molecule: small RNA, 68 nt
Filed under: Rhodococcus sp. EPR-157
Lineage: Bacteria; Bacillati; Actinomycetota; Actinomycetes; Mycobacteriales; Nocardiaceae
Description: ASdes TB sRNA
Rfam family: ASdes TB sRNA
Source: Rfam by way of RNAcentral
AGAGCGACCGGGUCGACCGCGCGGGUCAACACCAGGUAGUCACGCAGCACGAUUGCCUGCCGGUUCUC